GAUGAACGCUGGCGGCGUGCCUAAUACAUGCAAGUCGAGCGAACAGACGAGGAGCUUGCUCCUUUGACGUUAGCGGCGGACGGGUGAGUAACACGUAGGUAACCUACCUAUAAGACUGGGAUAACUUCGGGAAACCGGAGCUAAUACCGGAUAAUAUUUCGAACCGCAUGGUUCGAUAGUGAAAGAUGGCUUUGCUAUCACUUAUAGAUGGACCUGCGCCAUAUUAGCUAGUUGGUAAGGUAACGGCUUACCAAGGCAACGAUACGUAGCCGACCUGAGAGGGUGAUCGGCCACACUGGAACUGAGACACGGUCCAGACUCCUACGGGAGGCAGCAGUAGGGAAUCUUCCGCAAUGGGCGAAAGCCUGACGGAGCAACGCCGCGUGAGUGAUGAAGGUCUUCGGAUCGUAAAACUCUGUUAUUAGGGAAGAACAAACGUGUAAGUAACUGUGCACGUCUUGACGGUACCUAAUCAGAAAGCCACGGCUAACUACGUG
This 497-nucleotide ribosomal RNA is filed under the name uncultured bacterium. RNAcentral's name for it is "partial 16S ribosomal RNA". It matches the Rfam family "Bacterial small subunit ribosomal RNA", at positions 28 to 507 of the family's 1533-position model. The record is from RNAcentral.